UGGUUCCUCCCACAAAAUGUGUGAUGGAACUCAGCAGUGGACUGUUUGAGCACUAUAUCAAGAACUGCCCUAAUCUGAUGACAGUUUGUGAACAAAAUCAUGA
Molecule: non-coding RNA, 103 nt
Organism: Chelonoidis abingdonii (Abingdon island giant tortoise)
Lineage: Eukaryota; Metazoa; Chordata; Testudines; Testudinidae
Source: RefSeq, a predicted model, not a curated record